AACGACCCUUCGGAAUACCCAAAAAAGCUCAGAACACAGAUCAAUCACUCGAACCUUGCAAUUUGCUAAAGUUCAGUGUGUUACAAAAUUGAUACAUUUUAAAACAUAAAGUACUAAAGUGAGAAAGUGCGAAACCAAAGGAGUGGUAUUUGAAAUUUAUCCUAAAAGUAAAUUAGAGGAAAUUAGGAGCUUUGAACUCAUAAGUCGUUUUCGAUGAUGGAGAUUCCGAUUCGACGAUCCAUAUCGUUAAACAUUAUCUAGAACAUUUAAAACUUCUAGAAAUCAAAUUUCAUAAUUUUUCGACAUCAUUUACCUUACGAUCAAAAGCUCACAAAAUUGACAUUUUUUAACGGCCGGUAUGGGAUACUCGCUACUUUAACGGUGUAAAAGAAUCAGAAUAUGUUGAAAUUUUGAUAGAAAAUUCUAUUCACUACCUAGAUAAAGAUCAAUAACUGCGAUCUUAAAUUAAAGGAUCCGAUCAUCCAUUUUUAGGACGUCGUUCGAUUUUGACCGUUUAUUUUAUGCCCAUUUGAUGGACUUAUUAUGAUUUCGAAAAAUUACGAAAUUCAUUUUUUAGAAGUUUCAAAUACUCUAGAUCAUAUUUAACAGAGUGAAUCGUCGAUUCGGAAGGCCCAUCAUCGAAAACAACUUAUGAGUACGAAGUGCUCUAUACUCAUAAGAGUAUAGUAGUCCUACUAUAUAUAUAUAUAUAUAUAUAUAUAUAUAUAUAGAGAGAGAGAGAGAGAGAGAGAGAGAGAGAGAGAGAGAGAGAGAGAGAGAGAGAGAGAGUCCGACUACUAUACUAUUAUGAGUAUGAUCACCCUCGUACUCAUAAUUGUUUUCGAUGAUAAAGCUUCCGAAUCGACGAUCCAUACUGUUAAACGUUAUCUAGAGCAUUUGAAACACCUAGAAAUCAAAUUUCAUAAUUUUUCGACAUCAUUCACCUUACGAUCAAAAACUCACAAAAUUGACAAUUUUUAAUGGCCGGUAUGGAAUACUUGCUAGUUUAACGGUGCAAAAGAAUCUCAAAAGGUUAAAUUUUUGAUAGAAAAUUCUAUUCACUAUCUAGAUAAAGAUCAAUAACUCUGAUCUUAAAUUGAAGGAUCCGAUCAUCCAUUUUUAAGACAUCGUUCGAUUUUGACCGUUCAUUUUAUGCCUGCUUGAUGGACUUUAUUAUGAUUUCAAAAAAUUACGAAAUUUAUUUUCUAGAAGUUUCAAAUACUUUAGAUCAUAUUUAACGGAGUGGAUCGUCGAUUCGGAAGCUCCAUCAUCGAAAACAACUUAAGAGUACGAAAGGUCCAAUUAAUACCCAUAAUAGUAUAGUAGCCUUACUCUAUAU
This 1339-nucleotide long non-coding RNA is filed under the name Ananas comosus (pineapple). Its description in RNAcentral is "long non-coding RNA (ACOM_LNC043400)". Lineage: Eukaryota; Viridiplantae; Streptophyta; Magnoliopsida; Poales; Bromeliaceae. The record is from RNAcentral.